Molecule: ribosomal RNA, 418 nt
Filed under: uncultured bacterium
Lineage: Bacteria
Description: bacterial SSU rRNA
Rfam family: Bacterial small subunit ribosomal RNA
Source: RNAcentral
UGGGGAAUAUUGGGCAAUGGGGGAAACCCUGACCCAGCAACGCCGCGUGAAGGAAGAAGGCUUUCGGGUUGUAAACUUCUUUUACCAGGGACGAAGGACGUGACGGUACCUGGAGAAAAGGCAACGGCUAACUACGUGCCAGCAGCCGCGGUAAUACGUAGGUUGCAAGCGUUGUCCGGAUUUACUGGGUGUAAAGGGCGUGUAGGCGGAGAAGCAAGUUGGGAGUGAAAUCCAUGGGCUCAACCCAUGAACUGCUCUCAAAACUGUUUCCCUUGAGUAUCGGAGAGGCAAGCGGAAUUCCUAGUGUAGCGGUGAAAUGCGUAGAUAUUAGGAGGAACACCAGUGGCGAAGGCGGCUUGCUGGACGACAACUGACGCUGAGGCGCGAAAGCGUGGGGAGCAAACAGGAUUAGAUACCC